CUACGUGCCAGCAGCCGCGGUAAUACGGAAGGUCCGGGCGUUAUCCGGAUUUAUUGGGUUUAAAGGGAGCGUAGGCUGGAGAUUAAGUGUGUUGUGAAAUGUAGACGCUCAACGUCUGACUUGCAGCGCAUACUGGUUUCCUUGAGUACGCACAACGUUGGCGGAAUUCGUCGUGUAGCGGUGAAAUGCUUAGAUAUGACGAAGAACUCCGAUUGCGAAGGCAGCUGACGGGAGCGCAACUGACGCUGAAGCUCGAAGGUGCGGGUAUCGAACAGGAUUAGAUACCCUGGUAGUCCGCACAGUAAACGAUGGAUGCCCGCUGUUGGUACUUGGUAUCAGCGGCUAAGCGAAAGCAAUAAGUACCCCGCCUGGGGAGUACGACCGCAAGGUUGAAACUCAAAGGAAUUGACGGGGGCCCGCACAAGCGGUGGAGUAUGUGGUUUAAUUCGACGCAACGCGAAGAACCUUACCAGGUCUUGACAU
This 483-nucleotide ribosomal RNA is filed under the name uncultured bacterium. RNAcentral's name for it is "bacterial SSU rRNA". It matches the Rfam family "Bacterial small subunit ribosomal RNA", at positions 501 to 987 of the family's 1533-position model. The record is from RNAcentral.